RNAcentral lists this ribosomal RNA (253 nucleotides) under uncultured bacterium. RNAcentral's name for it is "partial 16S ribosomal RNA". It matches the Rfam family "Bacterial small subunit ribosomal RNA", at positions 524 to 776 of the family's 1533-position model. The record is from RNAcentral.
UACGAAGGGUGCAAACGUUAUUCGGAAUCACUGGGCGUAAAGGGUGCGUAGACGGUCUGUUAAGUUCGUUGUUAAAGGCUCCGGCCUAACCGGAGUACCGCAAUGAAAACUGGCGUGCUAGAGGGUGAGAGAGAGAAGUGGAAUUCCCGGAGUAGCGGUAAAAUGCGUGGAUCUCGGGAGGAACACCAAUGGCGAAGGCAGCUUCUUGGCUCAUUCCUGACGUUGAGGCACGAAAGCGUGGGGAGCAAACAGG